GUGGGUCUAAGGAGAGUAGUGUAUACGCAGACCUUACCACUAUCCCGAAAAGGCAAAGAGACUAUUUUCAAGAGACUCUCGGCUCAACAGAAAAGGCAGUAAUAUCAGAAAAGAAAUAAGAGAAAAUACAUGCAACAAUAAAAGAUACCAGAAAAAAAAUAACCCCAACAAAUAAGUAAAAAGACAAUAAGACCGCUAACAAACCUAACGAACCUCUAACAGACUCCUCAGUACCAAGAGGGAAGAACUUUCGGUUAUUCCUUAGCCUACUAUCCAAAUGCUCGAUCUCCAUAUGUUCAUAUCAAGAGUUAUGUCCUCGGAAAACUGAAAUCAUGACAUGUACUGCCUGAUCACCUCGCUCCAAUACUUCCUAGGCCACCCUCUGCCUCUUCUCGUACCUGCCAAAGUCAACCGCUUACACCUCCUAACCGGUGCAUCUAGGCUUCUCCUCCACACGUGACCGAACCAUCUAACCUGCGUUUCCAGCAUCUUAUUGUCCACGGGAGUUACGCCCACCCUCUCCCGAAUAUCUUCAUUUCGAAUCUUAUUCAACCUAGUGUGC
RNAcentral lists this long non-coding RNA (562 nucleotides) under Nicotiana benthamiana. RNAcentral's name for it is "long non-coding RNA (NBEN_LNC034467)". Lineage: Eukaryota; Viridiplantae; Streptophyta; Magnoliopsida; Solanales; Solanaceae. The record is from RNAcentral.